RNAcentral lists this ribosomal RNA (871 nucleotides) under Mycobacterium sp. CNJ862 PL04. Its description in RNAcentral is "bacterial SSU rRNA". It matches the Rfam family "Bacterial small subunit ribosomal RNA", at positions 8 to 894 of the family's 1533-position model. The record is from RNAcentral. Lineage: Bacteria; Bacillati; Actinomycetota; Actinomycetes; Mycobacteriales; Mycobacteriaceae.
AGAGUUUGAUCCUGGCUCAGGACGAACGCUGGCGGCGUGCUUAACACAUGCAAGUCGAACGGUAAGGCCCUUCGGGGUACACGAGUGGCGAACGGGUGAGUAACACGUGGGUGAUCUGCCCUGCACUUUGGGAUAAGCCUGGGAAACUGGGUCUAAUACCGGAUAGGACCACGGACUGCAUGGUCUGUGGUGGAAAGCUUUUGCGGUGUGGGAUGGGCCCGCGGCCUAUCAGCUUGUUGGUGGGGUGAUGGCCUACCAAGGCGACGACGGGUAGCCGGCCUGAGAGGGUGUCCGGCCACACUGGGACUGAGAUACGGCCCAGACUCCUACGGGAGGCAGCAGUGGGGAAUAUUGCACAAUGGGCGCAAGCCUGAUGCAGCGACGCCGCGUGGGGGAUGACGGCCUUCGGGUUGUAAACCUCUUUCAGCAUCGACGAAGCGUAAGUGACGGUAGAUGCAGAAGAAGCACCGGCCAACUACGUGCCAGCAGCCGCGGUAAUACGUAGGGUGCGAGCGUUGUCCGGAAUUACUGGGCGUAAAGAGCUCGUAGGUGGUUUGUCGCGUUGUUCGUGAAAACUCACAGCUUAACUGUGGGCGUGCGGGCGAUACGGGCAGACUGGAGUACUGCAGGGGAGACUGGAAUUCCUGGUGUAGCGGUGGAAUGCGCAGAUAUCAGGAGGAACACCGGUGGCGAAGGCGGGUCUCUGGGCAGUAACUGACGCUGAGGAGCGAAAGCGUGGGGAGCGAACAGGAUUAGAUACCCUGGUAGUCCACGCCGUAAACGGUGGGUACUAGGUGUGGGUUUCCUUCCUUGGGAUCCGUGCCGUAGCUAACGCAUUAAGUACCCCGCCUGGGGAGUACGGCCGCAAGGC